This 21-nucleotide non-coding RNA is filed under the name Arabidopsis thaliana (thale cress). The record is from RNAcentral. Lineage: Eukaryota; Viridiplantae; Streptophyta; Magnoliopsida; Brassicales; Brassicaceae.
GAGUGCUUGAACUGGUGAGUC